AUUGAACGCUGGCGGCAGGCCUAACACAUGCAAGUCGAACGAGUGGCGGACGGGUGAGUAAUGUCUGGGAAACUGCCUGAUGGCGGGGGAUAACUACUGGAAACGGUAGCUAAUACCGCAUACCAUCAGAUGUGCCCAGAUGGGAUUAGCUAGUUGGUGGGGUAACGGCUCACCAAGGCGACGAUCCCUAUCUGGUCUGAGAGGAUGACCAGAGAGACUGGAACGUAGACACGGUCGAGACUCCUACGGGAGGCAGCAGUGGGGAAUAAUGAACAAUGGGGGAAAGCAUGAUGCAGCCAUGCGGCGUGUAUGAAGAAGGGCUUCGGGUUGUAAAGUACUUUAAGCGGGGAGGGGUUACCCGCAGAAGAAGCACCGGGUAACGCCGUGCCAGCAGCCGCGGUAAUUG
Molecule: ribosomal RNA, 406 nt
Filed under: uncultured bacterium
Lineage: Bacteria
Description: partial 16S ribosomal RNA
Rfam family: Bacterial small subunit ribosomal RNA
Source: RNAcentral